GAUGAACGCUGGCGGCGUGCCUAAUACAUGCAAGUCGAGCGAACAGACGAGGAGCUUGCUCCUCUGACGUUAGCGGCGGACGGGUGAGUAACACGUGGAUAACCUACCUAUAAGACUGGGAUAACUUCGGGAAACCGGAGCUAAUACCGGAUAAUAUAUUGAACCGCAUGGUUCAAUAGUGAAAGACGGUUUUGCUGUCACUUAUAGAUGGAUCCGCGCCGCAUUAGCUAGUUGGUAAGGUAACGGCUUACCAAGGCGACGAUGCGUAGCCGACCUGAGAGGGGAAUCGGCCACACUGGACCUGAGCACCGGUCCAGACCCCUACGGGAGGCAGCAGUAGGGAAUCUUCCGCAAUGGGCGAAAGCCUGACGGAGCAACGCCGCGUGAGUGAUGAAGGUCUUCGGUUCGUAAAACUCUGUUAUUAGGGAAGAACAAAUGUGUAAGUAACUAUGCACGUCUUGACGGUACCUAAUCAGAAAGCCACGGCUAACUACGU
RNAcentral lists this ribosomal RNA (496 nucleotides) under uncultured bacterium. RNAcentral describes it as "partial 16S ribosomal RNA". It matches the Rfam family "Bacterial small subunit ribosomal RNA", at positions 28 to 506 of the family's 1533-position model. The record is from RNAcentral.